AUCAUGACCUGAGCUGAAGUCGGACGCUCAACCAGCAGCCCACCCAGGUGCCCCCACUGAACCAACAUCUUUUGAAAGGCAUUGGGGAAUGCAGAGCUGAGUGACCUGCUUGUGGAGGAGGAAGCAGCUUGGCAUAGGGAGGUCAGGAGGGCCGGGGCUCCCAUCCUGGCACCUCCUUUUCCUGAGGGUGACUUUCCUCUCUGAGCUUCGGUCCCUUUGCCUGUACAAUGGGGAUGCUCUGGGCCUCGUAAGACUCUUUCAAAGACAGCACAGGACCCACCUGGUACACAUGAAGAACUCAACAUUAGCUGUAUUUGCAACAUCAUCUGGGGAAGAACUGCUGCCUGACCAUCACGAAAGGGGUUAUUUAUUUAAUAGAAAGGGAUUUGUCUUUUAUGGGUUGCCCUGAGACUGGGCUAACGCAUCAUUACUAGGAGGAAAGUGGUUUUGAACUAAGAAGAAUAAGCAAGCGAGCGGGUCUCAGAGAGUUAGAGACCCCUCCCACACAAAACCAUCUAUGUCACAGCCAUGGGGAGACACCCCUCGUUUACAUUUGGGGAGACUGAGGCCCAGCGUGAAAAAACACCUGGGUUCAGCAGGUGGGUGUGUCACUCGUACACAGAGUGCAGGGAAUCCUAGCGAAGGCAUCAUGGGAGUGGGGGAGGUGGUGGGAGGAAGCACCUGUGUUCCACUCACCUGCCAGGGGGCUGCCAUUUUCAAUUUGUUCUACUGACUGAAGUCUUUUAUGAAGCACCUGGUCACAUGGUGCAGGAGUGAGGCAGGCAGGAGUGGUGCUUGCCUGGGGCGGGGCUGCCGGUUAGCCUUAGGAGCCCAGGACUCUGGGAGCUGAGAUAGGUGAGGUCAAAUUGUGAAGCCAUUCCGUGUUACUUAGGAGGAAACUGAGGCUGGACGUGGGGAUGGGGUCUAAACAUCCCAUGGGAGGCCAGAACACUGGCCUCGGGCCCCCUGAGCGAGCCUGCACAGUGGUCAGCUCUGAGCAGGGCUUCUGACCCAACAGGACCACCCUCCCUGACUGCCUACCCACCGGGCCAGCCUGUCCUCCAGGUCCCGGAUCUGGAUGUGGUAGAAUUCUCGGGUCUCCUCGCCUAAAGGCGUUUCCGCUUGCUGGCUGGCCAUGCUGGCAUCCUUCUUGCCACCUUUCUUCUUGACCUCGGGCUCCUGGGCCCCCUUAGUUGCCUUCUUUUUGGGAGCCAUGGCUGGUGGCAGCCACUGCCCCAAGGCCCUUUUAAGAAGCUAGGUGGUUGCUAAGGAAGUUGGUCCUAUACAUAGCAACAAACAGGGAGUGAGGCGGAACUUAAAGGGACCCUGCCCUCUUCCUGGCAAGUUUGGGCACUAGCAACCAGCCUCCGUGUCUGAGGGCAAGCACCAACAGAGGCGACUUGGCUGGGAUCAGCGGCAGCACCGUCAGCACUGAUCGAGCGCUUACUGUUCUUACCGGGGUCCAGCUCAGCAUCACCCUUCCAGAGGCGUCCCUAACAGAAGAGGACAAAGUCCCUUGCCAGGGUCAUGUAGAACAAGGCUGACAGUGGAUUCGACCCAGGCCUGCGCUCACAAGCACUCGGCCAUUGUCUCUAGGGAUGAAUGCCUGGCAUCACGCUGAGGCGGGUGUACAGGCCCCUCAACAGCGCCUGGUUGAGACCCCGCCCCCAGCCUAGACCUGGCCCCCUGGAAAGGCAGGGUGACCAGCGACAGGUCUCGGACCUGUCUUGGUUUAGGAUUGCUCAGUUACUGGUUCAGCAUUGUCUGCUUUGGUUUCAGAACCCCCUGUCCUUCCAAGAAUAUUUACCACCACUGGAGACUUUGUGGAGGAGCCGCCCACAGGCUCCAGUCUGUGCUGUGCAACAAAAGAAGCAGGACUAUUGCUGGAGCAUAAAAAGGGCCAGGUCUCUGGAGGGGAGUGGAAUGGAGACAGGCGUCAGAAACCCUGGGCCAAAGCAUGUCGGGAACGGUCAAGAAGAGGCUAACCGGCGACUUCCCUGGAGGGAAGGAGCAAACAGCAUUUACUUUGCUUUAAUGUAAACUCAGUUUAGAAUAAUUUAGAAAAAAUUAUUUAUCUUA
Long non-coding RNA from Suricata suricatta (meerkat), 2079 nucleotides. RefSeq lists it as uncharacterized. The transcript has 2 exons. Lineage: Eukaryota; Metazoa; Chordata; Mammalia; Carnivora; Herpestidae. The record is from RefSeq and is a predicted model, not a curated record.